GCGCGUAUCGUAUAAUGGUAAUACCUUAGCCUUCCAAGCUAAAGCUGCGAGUUCGAUUCUCGCUACGCGCUCCA
Molecule: transfer RNA, 74 nt
Filed under: Vibrio sp.
Lineage: Bacteria; Pseudomonadati; Pseudomonadota; Gammaproteobacteria; Vibrionales; Vibrionaceae
Also listed under: 6 other names
Description: tRNA-Gly
Rfam family: tRNA
About the family: Transfer RNA (tRNA) molecules are approximately 80 nucleotides in length. Their secondary structure includes four short double-helical elements and three loops (D, anti-codon, and T loops). Further hydrogen bonds mediate the characteristic L-shaped molecular structure. tRNAs have two regions of fundamental functional importance: the anti-codon, which is responsible for specific mRNA codon recognition, and the 3' end, to which the tRNAs corresponding amino acid is attached (by aminoacyl-tRNA synthetases). tRNAs cope with the degeneracy of the genetic code in two manners: having more than one tRNA (with a specific anti-codon) for a particular amino acid; and 'wobble' base-pairing, i.e. permitting non-standard base-pairing at the 3rd anti-codon position.
Source: RNAcentral